ACAACACUCCUUCGCGCAAUCGCGGUUAAACCGUGACAGCGUGAUCCCAAGUGCUCAUGCAGGAAGGGGAUGUCCUUUGGUCUAAGUAACCAGAGGAAAAGGGAUGGGCAAGACCGGUGCCAGCCGCCGCGGUAAUACCGGCAGCUCAAGUGGUAGCCGCGUUUAUUGGGCCUAAAGCGUUCGUAGCCGGAUAAGUAAGUCUUUGGUUAAAUCCUGCAACUUAACUGUGGGAAAUCUAGGGAUACUGCUUGUCUUGAGACCGGGAGAGGUAAGAGGUACUCCCAGGUAAGGGGGGAAAUCCUGUAUCCCUAGGGGGACCCCCUGUGGGGAAGGCGUCUUACUGGAACGGGUCUGACGGUGAGGGACAAAACCUAGGGAAGCGAGCCGGAUUAAAUACCCGGGUAGUCCUAGGCGUAAAUGAUGCGAGUUAAGUGUGGGGGCUCUACAAAAUGGCCCUGUGCUGUAGGGAAGCCGUUAAACUCCCCGCCUGGGGAGUACGCCCCAAGGUUGAAACUUAAAGGAAUUGGGGGGGGAAGGGCAAAUUCGUUUAAACCUGCAGGAUUAGUCCCUUUAUUGAGGGUUAAUUCUGAGCUGGGCGUAAUCAUGGCCAUAGCUGUUUCCUGAA
Molecule: ribosomal RNA, 625 nt
Filed under: uncultured Methanobrevibacter sp.
Lineage: Archaea; Methanobacteriati; Methanobacteriota; Methanobacteria; Methanobacteriales; Methanobacteriaceae
Description: bacterial SSU rRNA
Rfam family: Archaeal small subunit ribosomal RNA
Source: RNAcentral